AGUGAACGCUGGCGGUAGGCCUAACACAUGCAAGUCGAACGGCAGCACAGUAAGAGCUUGCUCUUACGGGUGGCGAGUGGCGGACGGGUGAGGAAUACAUCGGAAUCUACUUUUUCGUGGGGGAUAACGUAGGGAAACUUACGCUAAUACCGCAUACGACCUACGGGUGAAAGCAGGGGAUCUUCGGACCUUGCGCGAUUGAAUGAGCCGAUGUCGGAUUAGCUAGUUGGCGGGGUAAGGGCCCACCAAGGCGACAAUCCGUAGCUGGUCUGAGAGGAUGAUCAGCCACAGUGGAACUGAGACACGGUCCAGACUCCUAAGGGAGGCAGCAGCGGGGAAUAUUGGACAAUGGGCGCAAGCCUGAUCCAGCCAUACCGCGUGGGUGAAGAAGGCCUUCGGGUUGUAAAGCCCUUUUGUUGGGAAAGAAAAGCAGCAGGUUAAUACCCCGCUGUUCUGACGGUACCCAAAGAAUAAGCACCGGCUAACUUCGUG
This 492-nucleotide ribosomal RNA is filed under the name uncultured bacterium. RNAcentral describes it as "partial 16S ribosomal RNA". It matches the Rfam family "Bacterial small subunit ribosomal RNA", at positions 29 to 507 of the family's 1533-position model. The record is from RNAcentral.